GAUUUCAGUGGCGUGAAGAAUA
RNAcentral lists this microRNA (22 nucleotides) under Gadus morhua (Atlantic cod). Its description in RNAcentral is "gmo-miR-205-2-3p". Its record names the gene gmo-miR-205-2-3p. The record is from miRBase by way of RNAcentral. Lineage: Eukaryota; Metazoa; Chordata; Actinopteri; Gadiformes; Gadidae.